RNAcentral lists this non-coding RNA (30 nucleotides) under Bombyx mori (domestic silkworm). Lineage: Eukaryota; Metazoa; Arthropoda; Insecta; Lepidoptera; Bombycidae. The record is from RNAcentral.
UGCAUGGUGUUGUGAGCAGACCGCGGGCCU